UUCUUCAGGAUCUUCAUGAUGAUGUUCUUCAGGAUCUUGUUCUUCAGGAUCUUCAUGCUGCGGUCACGUAAACGCUCUGAAGUGAGAAGUAGGAAGUCCCGAGAUGGGAAAACACCGAGAUCUCCCGUUGUAUCGAAGCAGCAAAACUGUCCUUACAGAACCGUUUAAUUUAAGAUUCAUCACAAACCGUCCUCAUGAUGUCCAGGAAUAAAUCGAUCCCCUGGAGAGGAGUUUAAACCACUAAAAUGUAAUUAUAUGUUAAAUAAUAAAAUAUUUCAUAUGUUAUGCCCAAUAAAG
Molecule: long non-coding RNA, 297 nt
Organism: Tachysurus fulvidraco (yellow catfish)
Lineage: Eukaryota; Metazoa; Chordata; Actinopteri; Siluriformes; Bagridae
Exons: 3
Source: RefSeq, a predicted model, not a curated record